CCUACGGGAGGCAGCAGUGGGGAAUUUUGGACAAUGGGCGCAAGCCUGAUCCAGCAAUGCCGCGUGAGUGAAGAAGGCCUUCGGGUUGUAAAGCUCUUUUGUCAGGGAAGAAACGGUGGUUCCUAAUACGGACUACUAAUGACGGUACCUGAAGAAUAAGCACCGGCUAACUACGUGCCAGCAGCCGCGGUAAUACGUAGGGUGCAAGCGUUAAUCGGAAUUACUGGGCGUAAAGCGUGCGCAGGCGGUUAUAUAAGUCAGAUGUGAAAUCCCCGGGCUCAACCUGGGAACUGCAUUUGAGACUGUAUGGCUAGAGUGUGUCAGAGGGGGGUAGAAUUCCACGUGUAGCAGUGAAAUGCGUAGAUAUGUGGAGGAAUACCGAUGGCGAAGGCAGCCCCCUGGGAUAACACUGACGCUCAUGCACGAAAGCGUGGGGAGCAAACAGGAUUAGAUACCCUGGUAGUCCACGCCCUAAACGAUGUCUACUAGUUGUCGGGACUUAAUUGUCUUGGUAACGCAGCUAACGCGUGAAGUAGACCGCCUGGGGGAGUACGGUCGCAAGAUUAAAACCUCAAAGGAAUUGACGG
This 587-nucleotide ribosomal RNA is filed under the name uncultured bacterium. RNAcentral's name for it is "bacterial SSU rRNA". It matches the Rfam family "Bacterial small subunit ribosomal RNA", at positions 338 to 916 of the family's 1533-position model. The record is from RNAcentral.